Molecule: RNA transcript, 2689 nt
Organism: Dioscorea cayenensis subsp. rotundata (Guinea yam)
Lineage: Eukaryota; Viridiplantae; Streptophyta; Magnoliopsida; Dioscoreales; Dioscoreaceae
Gene name: syntaxin-81-like
Exons: 12
Source: RefSeq, a predicted model, not a curated record
UGUUCAUUGCAUUGCCUAUCACUGCGUUGCGAUCUGGACACGGAGCAUCCAAUUUUCCUCGUCAAUACUGGCGUCGCUUCCCCGGUUUAAUCCCAAUCCCUUUCGAUCGAUCCAAACGAGCACCAUUAGAAGUUGGAUCAGGGAAAAGGUCGGAGAUAUUGAAGGGAACGUGAUGUCCGAUGUAUGGUGGUAGAUGGUUGAGCAGAUGCUGAGGAAUAGGGAUAGAACCGAAGAUUUCAAGGAUGUUGUCCGUGCUGCUGCUUUUUCCUCCGGAUACACUGAGUCAAAACUUGCUGCAAUAUUGGCUGCUUUCAUUAUGCGCAAAUUUUCAGAGAGAAAACCCUUUACAAAAGCUGCAUUGAAGACGCUGUCAAGCAUUAAUGAAUUGGAACAUUUCAUUGUAAAGCAUCGAAAAGAUUAUGUGGGCUUGCAUCGCACAACUGAACAAGAGAGGGAUGAUAUUGAACAUGAAGUUAGCAUAUUUAUAAAAUCAUGCAAGGACCAGAUUGAUGUCCUAAAGAAUAGAAUCCUUGAGGAAGAGAAAAGUGGAAAUGCAAGGACUUGGCUUAAUGUGCGGGAUGAUGGCUUUAAUGCAGAUCUCCUAGCUCACAAACAUGGUGUGGUUCUGAUUUUGAGUGAGCGGCUCCAUGCAGUUACUGCUCAUUUUGAUCAGCUACGCUCUGUACGCUUCCAGGAUGCUGUCAAUAAAGCAAUGCCAAGAAGAAAAAUGCAUAAAAUAGCCAAGCUAAAAUCAUCAGAAUCCCUUCCUUCUGCUGCAGCAGAGAUCAGAGAACAAGAUCUUUCUUCUGGACCUGUAAGAAUCCAGGAUCAACUUCUAGAUGAUGAAACACGUGCAAUUCAGGUAGAAUUGACCAGCCUUUUGGAUGCUGUUCAAGAAACAGAAACUAAGAUGGUGGAGAUGUCUGCAUUGAAUCAUCUCAUGUCAACACAUGUUCUCCAGCAAGCUCAGCAGAUCGAGCAACUAUACGAACAGGCAGUCGAGGCGACCUUGAAUGUGGAGAGAGGUAACAAAGAGUUAGUGCAAGCAAUCCAGCGGAAUAGCAGCAGCAGAACUUUUCUUGUGCUUUUCUUGUUUGUCCUUACUUUUUCAAUUAUUUUUCUCGAUUGGUAUAACUAAUAAGUUUGUCAUACAAAGUAUUUUUACUACACUUACCGGCAAUUCAUCAUGAAUUCUCAGAAAAGGAAAAGCAAGGGAUCUAUCUCAGUCCAUUUCAUUAUCUGCUUUGGUUUGGUGUUGUGUUUGGACGAUGAUGGAAAUGUUUAUAGUAUUAGUUUCACUUGUUUUGGUGUUUGGGGUCUAGUUCAGGUUGUUUUAUGAAAGAUUCUAACUCUUAACUGAACCACAAAGACAAUGGAACUUGUGCUACACCUCAAUUGUUGUGGUAUUAGUUGCUAAUUGAGUUAAUAUUUAAAAAUGGAAAGCAAAUAUUAUUUAAUAAGAACAGGUAAAAUAUGACGAGGCAAUUAUACUCAUUUUGUUGAGGAUGUAUGUCAAAGUGCUCAUCAAGGUCUUUACGGUCCUUUAUUAGGAGCAAUUUGGUCAAUCUCUUGAGCCAUUUAACUAUGGGUUUAUGCAAAAGACUAAAUGCACUUUGAUUCAUGUGAUUUCAAUGUAUCAUGUAUUUUGGUCCCUCUCCUUGUACAACUAUUUUUCCUUGAGUAUGUUUCAUAUGACUGACCUGGGGGCACAGGUGGCAUGCCCCCAUGUUGUCAGUCUUAUGAUGCAUGGAAGGACCUAACUUGUAUGAUCAUGUAUAUAGUUAUGUACUUCUCCAUGGUAGGAAAUAUUAACUUGAUUGGUUAGUCUGCAAAUGCUGUUCUUGCAGUGAAUCUCCACAAUCUAUAUAAGGCAUCUUGGGAAAUUAUCUAUGGAUCUAUAGAAGAAGACAAGUCAACCAACCAUGAAGAUGGGAACGAAAAAGGGCACCGUUUUAUAAAAGAAAAAACAAAGAGGAGAGGAGGCAAACAAAACUGAUAAAAAAUAGUGACGGGCUUCCUCUCAAUUAGCACACAGACAUGUUGAGUGAAACCAUUUGUAAGCAUAAUGUUAGCUGUCUCACAUAUUCCUCGGAGUCCCAUCACAACCGGUGCUGUUGAUCUUCUUCCAUAAGUUGUUGCAGCAGAAAGUAGUACUGUCAGAAUGAGUCUGGCAGUUCUCUAAGAAUCAAGGAAGCGAAGAAGGCAGAGAAACACAAGAACAAGAUGGAAAGAGAACUUGCCAAAAACAAAAAGAAGAAAUCAAUGAUAUUGACAACAAAAAUACAAUUAGAAGAAAACACCAAUGAAAUCAAUAAUGGAAUGGUUGAUCAAUCUCAAAGCAAGUUUGAGAGGAAUGAAAAGUUUCUGUAGCUCUUGACACAACAAGUGUUAAACUUGCGAAUUCGACCACCUCUAUCAAGCGAAGCCUCAAGUUCCUUGGAUCAUGUGCUGUCAAUACUAAAGAAACUGUGAUUUAUCCUAACACCAGCUAAGUAUUAUCUUCAUUUUGGUUAUGUCACCCCGGACGGCUUUUCUAUUAAUUGUUUCUAGGGUGACACUAAUUUUCUCUUCUUUUUGUCCACCGCCAGUGAAUCUUCUUGUUAUGUCCCUUCAUUGUUGUAUAUGUUUCAAACCUCGGCUUUUUUUAUUUUUCUCAGUCUAUGUUCAUCUUUCUUCUUAUUUUUGUAAU